Molecule: ribosomal RNA, 254 nt
Filed under: uncultured bacterium
Lineage: Bacteria
Description: partial 16S ribosomal RNA
Rfam family: Bacterial small subunit ribosomal RNA
Source: RNAcentral
UACGGGGGGAGCAAGCGUUGUUCGGAUUUACUGGGCGUAAAGGGCGCGUAGGCGGCCACCGCAAGUCAGUUGUGAAAGCUCUGGGCUUAACCCAGAAAGGUCAACUGAUACUGCGGGGCUAGAGUGCAGAAGGGGCAACUGGAAUUCUCGGUGUAGCGGUGAAAUGCGUAGAUAUCGAGAGGAACACCUGCGGCGAAGGCGGGUUGCUGGGCUGACACUGACGCUGAACUGCGAAAGCUAGGGGAGCGAACGGG